UUUUUUACAAGUUUUUGUUGAAAAACUUAAUCAAAUUUAGUACAACUAAGGGAGAAAACAUAUUUUAAAAAUAUGAGUUUUAAAUAUCUUGAUGUUAAUUAUCACUCUUAAAUAUACAGGUUAUUCAAAAACUAGCGUAGAAGAUUUCCACGGAAGUCUUCUCGGAUCAGUUAAAAAUAGCAUUGACUAGAAGAUUUCCGUGUACGUCGUCUACAACCAGGCGACUUACCUGGAAGUCGUCUGGACGAACAGAUCUGGAAAAAAUCUAAUUUCAUAGUUUCAACCAGUGAGAUAAAUUGUUUAGCACACAAAAGUUUUCUCCAAGCACCCAAAAUCUCAAACAAAA
Molecule: long non-coding RNA, 346 nt
Filed under: Brassica rapa (field mustard)
Lineage: Eukaryota; Viridiplantae; Streptophyta; Magnoliopsida; Brassicales; Brassicaceae
Description: long non-coding RNA (BRAP_LNC001435)
Source: RNAcentral